Molecule: ribosomal RNA, 245 nt
Filed under: uncultured bacterium
Lineage: Bacteria
Description: partial small subunit ribosomal RNA
Rfam family: Bacterial small subunit ribosomal RNA
Source: RNAcentral
AGAAUCAACGCUGGCGGCGUGCCUAACACAUGCAAGUCGCACGAGAAAGGGGCUUCGGCCCUGAGUAAAGUGGCGCACGGGUGAGUAACACGUGAAUCAUCUACCUUCGAGUGUGGAAUAACUGAGAGAAAUCUUAGCUAAUACCGCAUAAUACCUACGGGUCAAAGCAGCAAUGCGCUUGAAGAGGAGUUCGCGGCAGAUUAGUUAGUUGGCGGGGUAAUGGCCCACCAAGACGAUGAUCUGUA